Long non-coding RNA from Juglans microcarpa x Juglans regia, 333 nucleotides. RefSeq lists it as uncharacterized. The transcript has 3 exons. NCBI's taxonomy places the organism in Eukaryota, Viridiplantae, Streptophyta, Magnoliopsida, Fagales, Juglandaceae. The record is from RefSeq and is a predicted model, not a curated record.
UCCAUUAUUGUGCUUUCUCUUAACUCUCCCUUACUAAUUUCGCGGCUCAUGCUUAUGAUUUAUUCCCAUUGCUUUCCCCUUUUGGCUUGGUCCUUCACUGCUCUGUUGUGUUUUAUUUUUGCCGUGCCUUGUUUUUGCUAUAAAACCCAUAAACUUCACUCGUAUCUUGGUGAUUUUGGUGCUUGCUGUGAGUGCGUGUUCUACUACUGCUAGUUGCCUCUCGGUUUCCCUUGAAUAUAUUUUUAUGGUCAAGCUGGAGAACAAGAAUAUGAAGUAUUGGAACAGUCUGAUGAUCAUAGAUGAAUGAGUGCUAUGGGUACUAGUAUUUUGGAG